Molecule: non-coding RNA, 116 nt
Submitted as: unclassified sequences
Source: Rfam
AAGCUCAAGGGCGUCGAUAUUCGCUUCGCGUGUUUCCCUCUACGUAAGCUGUGAUCCGCAAGGUAGCAUCCUGGAGUUUGGCCCGCUGUGAGUACGUGCACAGAAAGCAGCGGGUU